GACGAACGCUGGCGGCGUGCUUAACACAUGCAAGUCGAACGAAGAGCGAUGGAAGCUUGCAUCUAUCAAUCUUAGUGGCGAACGGGUGAGUAACGCGUAAUCAACCUGCCCUUCAGAGGGGGACAACAGUUGGAAACGACUGCUAAUACCGCAUACGAUCUAAUCUCGGCAUCGAGGAUAGAUGAAAGGUGGCCUCUACAUGUAAGCUAUCACUGAAGGAGGGGAUUGCGUCUGAUUAGCUAGUUGGAGGGGUAACGGCCCACCAAGGCGAUGAUCAGUAGCCGGUCUGAGAGGAUGAACGGCCACAUUGGGACUGAGACACGGCCCAGACUCCUACGGGAGGCAGCAGUGGGGAAUCUUCCGCAAUGGACGAAAGUCUGACGGAGCAACGCCGCGUGAGUGAUGACGGCCUUCGGGUUGUAAAGCUCUGUUAAUCGGGACGAAAGGCCUUCUUGCGAAUAGUGAGAAGGAUAGAC
This 476-nucleotide ribosomal RNA is filed under the name Veillonella parvula. RNAcentral describes it as "bacterial SSU rRNA". It matches the Rfam family "Bacterial small subunit ribosomal RNA", at positions 28 to 473 of the family's 1533-position model. The record is from RNAcentral. Lineage: Bacteria; Bacillati; Bacillota; Negativicutes; Veillonellales; Veillonellaceae.